GAUGAACGCUAGCGGCAGGCCUAACACAUGCAAGUCGAGGGAGAAGCCCUUCGGGGCAGAAACCGGCGCACGGGUGCGUAACGCGUAUGCAACCUACCUUUCACAGGGGGAUAGCCCGAAGAAAUUUGGAUUAAUACCCCAUAAUAUUAUUGGAUGGCAUCAUUUGAUAAUUAAAAUUACGAUGGUGAAAGAUGGGCAUGCGUCCUAUUAGCUAGUUGGAGUGGUAACGGCACCCCAAGGCUACGAUAGGUAGGGGUCCUGAGAGGGAGAUCCCCCACACUGGUACUGAGACAGGGACCAGACUCCUACGGGAGGCAGCAGUGAGGAAUAUUGGUCAAUGGUCGGAAGACUGAACCAGCCAUGCCGCGUGCAGGAAGAAUGCCUUAUGGGUUGUAAACUGCUUUUAUAUGGGAAGAAUAAGGAGUACGUGUACUUUGAUGACGUACCAUAUGAAUAAGCAUCG
This 463-nucleotide ribosomal RNA is filed under the name Capnocytophaga granulosa. Its description in RNAcentral is "bacterial SSU rRNA". It matches the Rfam family "Bacterial small subunit ribosomal RNA", at positions 28 to 495 of the family's 1533-position model. The record is from RNAcentral. Lineage: Bacteria; Pseudomonadati; Bacteroidota; Flavobacteriia; Flavobacteriales; Flavobacteriaceae.